AUUCCAGAUCCAAGAUUGGAAAGAUGAAGACAAACACAGUCUUUCUGCUCCUGGGUGUAGUUCUGUGUCUGGCGCUGGUAAGUCAAGCUAACGAAGUAACAGUACCCUGUAAUCAGCCUAAUGUAAUUUAUAAAACGUGCGGCACGGCUUGUCCAAUCACAUGUGCAAAUAUGAACCACC
This is a long non-coding RNA of Pelobates fuscus (common spadefoot toad), 180 nucleotides long. RefSeq lists it as uncharacterized. Lineage: Eukaryota; Metazoa; Chordata; Amphibia; Anura; Pelobatidae. The transcript is spliced from 3 exons. The record is from RefSeq and is a predicted model, not a curated record.